RNAcentral lists this ribosomal RNA (484 nucleotides) under uncultured bacterium. Its description in RNAcentral is "partial 16S ribosomal RNA". It matches the Rfam family "Bacterial small subunit ribosomal RNA", at positions 30 to 507 of the family's 1533-position model. The record is from RNAcentral.
AUUGAACGCUGGCGGCAGGCCUAACACAUGCAAGUCGAGCGGAUGAAGGGAGCUUGCUCCUGGAUUCAGCGGCGGACGGGUGAGUAAUGCCUAGGAAUCUGCCUGGUAGUGGGGGAUAACGUCCGGAAACGGGCGCUAAUACCGCAUACGUCCUGAGGGAGAAAGUGGGGGAUCUUCGGACCUCACGCUAUCAGAUGAGCCUAGGUCGUAUUAGCUAGUUGGUGGGGUAAAGGCCUACCAAGGCGACGAUCCGUAACUGGUCUGAGAGGAUGAUCAGUCACACUGGAACUGAGACACGGUCCAGACUCCUACGGGAGGCAGCAGUGGGGAAUAUUGGACAAGGGGCGAAAGCCUGAUCCAGCCAUGCCGCGUGUGUGAAGAAGGUCUUCGGAUUGUAAAGCACUUUAAGUUGGGAGGAAGGGCAGUAAGUUAAUACCUUGCUGUUUUGACGUUACCAACAGAAUAAGCACCGGCUAACUUCGUG